This 253-nucleotide ribosomal RNA is filed under the name uncultured bacterium. RNAcentral's name for it is "partial 16S ribosomal RNA". It matches the Rfam family "Bacterial small subunit ribosomal RNA", at positions 524 to 776 of the family's 1533-position model. The record is from RNAcentral.
UACGUAGGUGGCAAGCGUUGUUCGGAAUUAUUGGGCGUAAAGGGCGCGUAGGCGGCAUGUUAAGUCGGCUGUGAAAUCCCCGAGCUCAACUCGGGAACUGCGUCCGAUACUGGCGGGCUUGAAUCCGGGAGAGGGAUGCGGAAUUCCAGGUGUAGCGGUGAAAUGCGUAGAUAUCUGGAGGAACACCGGUGGCGAAGGCGGCAUCCUGGACCGGCAUUGACGCUGAGGCGCGAAAGCUAGGGGAGCAAACGGG